This 71-nucleotide transfer RNA is filed under the name Marmota monax (woodchuck). Its description in RNAcentral is "tRNA.Thr". It matches the Rfam family "tRNA". From Rfam's summary of the family: Transfer RNA (tRNA) molecules are approximately 80 nucleotides in length. The record is from RNAcentral. Lineage: Eukaryota; Metazoa; Chordata; Mammalia; Rodentia; Sciuridae.
GGGGUUGUGGCUCAGUGGUAGAGCGCUCACCUGGUACAUGUGAGGCACUGGGUUCCAUCCUCAGCACCACA